GAAAUGCGAUAAGUAGUGUGAAUUGCAGAAUUCAGUGAAUCAUCGAAUCUUUGAACGCACAUUGCGCCCCUUGGUAUUCCAUGGGGCAUGCCUGUUCGAGCGUCAUUUGUACCCUCAAGCUCUGCUUGGUGUUGGGUGUUUGUCCCCGUCUCCGCGCGUGGACUCGCCCCAAAGUGAUUGGCAGCCGGCGUACUGGUCCCGGAGCGCAGCACAUGUCGCGCAAACGAGUGCCUUGGUACGGCGGCGUCCAUAAGCCCCUCUCUCACGCUCUUGACCUCGGGUCAGCUAGGGAUACCCGCUGAACUUAAGC
RNAcentral lists this unclassified non-coding RNA (310 nucleotides) under plant metagenome. RNAcentral describes it as "partial contains 5.8S ribosomal RNA, internal transcribed spacer 2, and large subunit ribosomal RNA". The stretch from base 1 to 105 matches the Rfam family "5.8S ribosomal RNA", at positions 50 to 154 of the family's 154-position model. The record is from RNAcentral.